RNAcentral lists this transfer RNA (88 nucleotides) under Micavibrio aeruginosavorus. Its description in RNAcentral is "tRNA-Leu". It matches the Rfam family "tRNA". Rfam says of the family: Transfer RNA (tRNA) molecules are approximately 80 nucleotides in length. Their secondary structure includes four short double-helical elements and three loops (D, anti-codon, and T loops). The record is from RNAcentral. Lineage: Bacteria; Pseudomonadati; Bdellovibrionota; Bdellovibrionia; Bdellovibrionales; Pseudobdellovibrionaceae.
GCGGGCGUGGCGGAAUGGUAGACGCAACGGACUUAAAAUCCGUAGGGCCUUGGUGCCCGUGGGGGUUCAAGUCCCCCCGCCCGCACCA